Molecule: ribosomal RNA, 381 nt
Filed under: uncultured eukaryote
Lineage: Eukaryota
Description: partial 18S ribosomal RNA
Rfam family: Eukaryotic small subunit ribosomal RNA
Source: RNAcentral
CAAUAGCGUAUAUUAAAGUUGUUGCGGUUAAAAAGCUCGUAGUUGGAUUUCUGCUGAGGAUGACCGGUCCGCCCUCUGGGCUGGUAUCUGGCUCAGCCUUGGCAUCUUCCUGAAGAACGUAGCUGCACUUCACUGUGUGGUACGGUAUUUAGGACAUUUACUUUGAGGAAAUUAGAGUGUUUCAAGCAAGCGCACGCCUUGAAUACAUUAGCAUGGAAUAAUAAGAUAUGACUUUGGUGGUCUAUUUUGUUGGUUUGCACACCAGAGUAAUGAUUAAUAGGGACAGUUGGGGGUAUUCAUAUUUCAACGUCAGAGGUGAAAUUCUUAGAUCGUUGAAAGAUGAGCUUAGGCGAAAGCAUUUACCAUGGAUGUUUUCAUUAA